GAUGAACGCUGGCGGCGUGCCUAAUACAUGCAAGUCGAGCGAACAGACGAGGAGCUUGCUCCUCUGACGUUAGCGGCGGACGGGUGAGUAACACGUGGAUAACCUACCUAUAAGACUGGGAUAACUUCGGGAAACCGGAGCUAAUACCGGAUAAUAUAUUGAACCGCAUGGUUCAAUAGUGAAAGACGGGUUUGCUGUCACUUAUAGAUGGAUCCGCGCCGCAUUAGCUAGUUGGUAAGGUAACGGCUUACCAAGGCAACGAUGCGUAGCCGACCUGAGAGGGUGAUCGGCCACACUGGAACUGAGACACGGUCCAGACUCCUACGGGAGGCAGCAGUAGGGAAUAUUCCGCAAUGGGCGAAAGCCUGACGGAGCAACGCCGCGUGAGUGAUGAAGGUCUUCGGAUCGUAAAACUCUGUUAUUAGGGAAGAACAAAUGUGUAAGUAACUAUGCACGUCUUGACGGUACCUAAUCAGAAAGCCACGGCUAACUUCGUG
Molecule: ribosomal RNA, 497 nt
Filed under: uncultured bacterium
Lineage: Bacteria
Description: partial 16S ribosomal RNA
Rfam family: Bacterial small subunit ribosomal RNA
Source: RNAcentral